RNAcentral lists this ribosomal RNA (303 nucleotides) under uncultured bacterium. RNAcentral's name for it is "partial 16S ribosomal RNA". It matches the Rfam family "Bacterial small subunit ribosomal RNA", at positions 507 to 807 of the family's 1533-position model. The record is from RNAcentral.
AGCAGCCGCCGCGGUAAAACGAAGGGUGCAAGCGUUAAUCGGAAUUACUGGGCGUAAAGCGUGCGUAGGCGGUGAGUUAAGCCUGCUGUGAAAUCCCCGGGCUCAACCUGGGAAUGGCGGUGGAUACUGGCUCGCUAGAGUGUGUCAGAGGAUGGUGGAAUUCCCGGUGUAGCGGUGAAAUGCGUAGAGAUCGGGAGGAACAUCAGUGGCGAAGGCGGCCAUCUGGGACAACACUGACGCUGAGGCACGAAAGCGUGGGGAGCAAACAGGAUUAGAUACCCCAGUAGUCCCUGUCUCUUAUAC